Molecule: ribosomal RNA, 359 nt
Filed under: Shigella sonnei
Lineage: Bacteria; Pseudomonadati; Pseudomonadota; Gammaproteobacteria; Enterobacterales; Enterobacteriaceae
Description: bacterial SSU rRNA
Rfam family: Bacterial small subunit ribosomal RNA
Source: RNAcentral
AAAUUGAAGAGUUUGAUCAUGGCUCAGAUUGAACGCUGGCGGCAGGCCUAACACAUGCAAGUCGAACGGUAACAGGAAGCAGCUUGCUGCUUCGCUGACGAGUGGCGGACGGGUGAGUAAUGUCUGGGAAACUGCCUGAUGGAGGGGGAUAACUACUGGAAACGGUAGCUAAUACCGCAUAAUGUCGCAAGACCAAAGAGGGGGACCUUCGGGCCUCUUGCCAUCGGAUGUGCCCAGAUGGGAUUAGCUUGUUGGUGGGGUAACGGCUCACCAAGGCGACGAUCCCUAGCUGGUCUGAGAGGAUGACCAGCCACACUGGAACUGAGACACGGUCCAGACUCCUACGGGAGGCAGCAGUG